This 388-nucleotide ribosomal RNA is filed under the name Nilssonia formosa. Its description in RNAcentral is "partial 12S ribosomal RNA". It matches the Rfam family "Bacterial small subunit ribosomal RNA", at positions 801 to 1384 of the family's 1533-position model. Lineage: Eukaryota; Metazoa; Chordata; Testudines; Trionychidae. The record is from RNAcentral.
UAAACUUAGAUGUUUACAAUACAAAAACAUCCGCCAGAAAACUACGAGCAAAACGCUUAAAACUCCAAGGACUUGGCGGUACCUCAAACCCCCCUAGAGGAGCCUGUUCUAUAAUCGAUAAUCCACGCUAAACCUUACCAUCCUUUGCCAACCCAGCCUAUAUACCACCGUCACAGCCUACCUUAUGAAAGACAAAAAGUAAGCUCAACAACUCCUAACAGUUAAAAAGUCAGGUCAAGGUGUAGCUAACUAAGAUGGAAGAAAUGGGCUACAUUUUCUAUUAUAGAAAUAACCACAGAACAGAAACAUGAAACAUGAUCUGAAUAAAGAAGGAUUUAGUAGUAAAUUAAGAACAGAGAGCUUAAUUUAAAACGGACCUGAGGUACGC